RNAcentral lists this microRNA (22 nucleotides) under Heligmosomoides polygyrus. Its description in RNAcentral is "hpo-miR-10078-3p". The record is from miRBase by way of RNAcentral. Lineage: Eukaryota; Metazoa; Nematoda; Chromadorea; Rhabditida; Heligmosomidae.
GGUUUAUCGCAGACGAAGAAUG